This 1404-nucleotide long non-coding RNA is filed under the name Cricetulus griseus (Chinese hamster). Its description in RNAcentral is "lncRNA (ENSCGRG00000024380.1)". Lineage: Eukaryota; Metazoa; Chordata; Mammalia; Rodentia; Cricetidae. The record is from RNAcentral.
AUGGCUCUUCUCCAUGACAGAGUCACCCUGCCUUGCCAACCAUCAGAGAAGCCAGAUUCACAAAGGCCCAGAUGGCUCCCAAAGUACCCCCAGAGCCAGACGUCAGACCCAGGAAAAACAAGACCAGCCCAGGACCAGAUGCACCUGCCGCCAGUGCCAUUAUGGCAUAUUAUGGAGUGUGAAGUAGCCACCCUGCCACAUGAAUCCUGGAAUAAUUCUAUGAAAGGAGGAACUCAUAUUCAAAUCCUUUGUCUCCAGUCUCAGAUCAUGAAAGUUUUCUGCUGUCUUUGGAACUUUGUCAGCGAACAGCUUGAAGGAGAUCAAUCAGCCCAAGGCUCAUCAUCAGCUGCCAUGUGGGAUCAGCCAUGACUUCGGCAAGCAGCGACAGGGACAGCAGUGUCUGCAAAGCCCACUUUGUAUUUUCAAUGCAUCCAAAACUUUGUCUUCCUGGAGCAUAGGCUCCUUUGCCUAUGCACCCUUGUCUCUGGAGCUCAGUUUAUCCCAAAGGAGCUGGGUGUGGGGUUCACACCUGUAAUUCCAGCAGUCUGGAAUCAAAAGUAGAAAAGUUGUGAAGUUGAGGCUGUCUGGGCUGCAUAGUGAGAAAUUAUGUCAAAACCAAAGGGGGCUGCAGAAAUAAAUUGGCAAAAAGCCUGUACCGCUUUUCCAGAGGACCCAUGUUUGGCUACUCACAACUGUCUUUAACACCAGCUCCAGGGACUCUGAAAUUCUCUUCUAGCCUCAUCAGGAACCUAUGUUCAACACACACACACACACACACACACACACACACACACACACACACACAAAUAUUGAGAUUUGGGCAUGAUGUCAGAGAUCUUUAAUCCCAGCACUCAGGAGACAGAAACAGGUGUCUCUCUGAGUUUGAGUCCAGCCUGGUCUACAUAGCAAAUUUCAAGCCAGGCAAGCUACUGUCUUUUAAAAAGAUAAAAAUCUUGAGGCUGAAGUGAUGGCUCAGCAGUUAAGAUGGCUCUGAUCUUCCAGAGGACCUGGGUUUGAGUCCCUGCACACACAGGGGCUCACAGACAUAUGUAGCUCCAGUUCCAGGGGAUCCAACACCCUGUUCUGGCCUCCAUGGGCACUGUACAUAUAUGGUACACAGACAUACAGGCAGACAAAACACCUAUACACAUAAAAAUAACUUCUUUAAAACCAAACAGGGGAGGAACAUAAAAGGGGGAGAAGAAGAAAUAACAAAGAGGGCUGUGAAUGUGCUCAGUUAGAGUGUUCAGCCUUCAGAAGCCCUGGGUUUGAUCCCCAGCACUGCAUAAACAAGGAGUAGUGCUCAACACCAAUAAUAGCAUCACUUGGAAGGUGGGAGCAGGACAAACAGGAGUCAUUCGUGGUUACAUAAUCAGUUCAAGGCUAGCCUGGGCUAUAUAAGAG